GUGCCAGCAGCCGCGGUAAUACAGGGGGCUCGAGCGUUAAUCGGAAUUACUGGGCGUAAAGCGUGCGCAGGCGGUUCGCUAAGACCGAUGUGAAAUCCCCGGGCUUAACCUGGGAACUGCAUUGGUGACUGGCGGGCUAGAGUAUGGCAGAGGGGGGUAGAAUUCCACGUGUAGCAGUGAAAUGCGUAGAGAUGUGGAGGAAUACCGAUGGCGAAGGCAGCCCCCUGGGCCAAUACUGACGCUCAUGCACGAAAGCGUGGGGAGCAAACAGGAUUAGAUACCCGUGUAGUCC
Molecule: ribosomal RNA, 292 nt
Filed under: uncultured bacterium
Lineage: Bacteria
Description: partial 16S ribosomal RNA
Rfam family: Bacterial small subunit ribosomal RNA
Source: RNAcentral